GCUCAGAUUGAACGCUGGCGGCAGGCUUAACACAUGCAAGUCGAGCGGUAGCAGGGAGAAAGCUUGCUUUCUCCGCUGACGAGCGGCGGACGGGUGAGUAAUGUCUGGGGAUCUGCCUGAUGGAGGGGGAUAACUACUGGAAACGGUAGCUAAUACCGCAUAACGUCGCAAGACCAAAGUGGGGGACCUUCGGGCCUCAUGCCAUCAGAUGAACCCAGAUGGGAUUAGCUAGUAGGUGAGGUAAUGGCUCACCUAGGCGACGAUCCCUAGCUGGUCUGAGAGGAUGACCAGCCACACUGGAACUGAGACACGGUCCAGACUCCUACGGGAGGCAGCAGUGGGGAAUAUUGCACAAUGGGCGCAAGCCUGAUGCAGCCAUGCCGCGUGUAUGAAGAAGGCCUUCGGGUUGUAAAGUACUUUCAGUAGGGAGGAAGGUGUGCGUGUUAAUAGCACGUGCAAUUGACGUUACCUACAGAAGAAGCACCGGCAAACUCCGUGC
This 499-nucleotide ribosomal RNA is filed under the name Edwardsiella tarda. RNAcentral describes it as "bacterial SSU rRNA". It matches the Rfam family "Bacterial small subunit ribosomal RNA", at positions 22 to 508 of the family's 1533-position model. Lineage: Bacteria; Pseudomonadati; Pseudomonadota; Gammaproteobacteria; Enterobacterales; Hafniaceae. The record is from RNAcentral.